AGUGAACGCUGGCGGUAGGCCUAACACAUGCAAGUCGAACGGCAGCACAGUAAGAGCUUGCUCUUACGGGUGGCGAGUGGCGGACGGGUGAGGAAUACAUCGGAAUCUACUUUUUCGUGGGGGAUAACGUAGGGAAACUUACGCUAAUACCGCAUACGACCUACGGUUGAAAGCAGUGGAUCUUCGGACCUUGCGCGAUUGGAUUAGCCGAUGUCGGAUUUGCUGGUUGGCGGGGUAAAGGCCCACCAAGGCGACGAUCCGUAGCUGGUCUGGGAGGAUGAGCAGCCGCACUGGAACUGGGACACGGACCAGACGCCUACGGGAGGCAGCAGUGGGGAAUAUUGGACAAUGGGCGCAAGCCUGAUCCAGCCAUACCGCGUGGGUGAAGAAGGCCUUCGGGUUGUAAAGCCCUUUUGUUGGGAAAGAAAAGCAGCAGGUUAAUACCCCGCUGUUCUGACGGUACCCAAAGAAUAAGCACCGGCUAACUUCGUG
This 492-nucleotide ribosomal RNA is filed under the name uncultured bacterium. RNAcentral describes it as "partial 16S ribosomal RNA". It matches the Rfam family "Bacterial small subunit ribosomal RNA", at positions 29 to 507 of the family's 1533-position model. The record is from RNAcentral.